UGAAGCGAAAGCGGAACGACCCUUCGGGGAGCAAUCACAGGUGCUGCAUGGCUGUCGUCAGCUCGUGUCGUGAGAUGUUCGGUUAAGUCCGCUAACGAGCGCAACCCUCGCCGCGUGUUACAAGUGUCACGCGGGACUGCCAGUCUUAAGCUGGAGGAAGGUGGGGAUGACGUCAAGUCAGCAUGGCCUUUAUGUCCUGGGCUACACACACGCUACAAUGGCCAGUACAAUGGGUAGCGAAGUCGCGAGGCGAAGCCAAUCCACAAAGCUGGUCUCAGUUCAGAUUGCAGGCUGCAACCCGCCUGCAUGAAGACGGAGUUGCUAGUAACCGCAGGUCAGCUAUACUGCGGUGAAUACGUUCCCGGGCCUUGUACACACCGCCCGUCACGUCAUGGGAGCUGGUAACACCUGAAGCCGGUAUCCGAACCGCAAGGAAGGAGCCGUCGAGGGUGGGGCUGGUGACUGGGACGAAGUCGUAACAAGGUAGGUGUACCGGAAGG
This 500-nucleotide ribosomal RNA is filed under the name uncultured bacterium. RNAcentral describes it as "bacterial SSU rRNA". It matches the Rfam family "Bacterial small subunit ribosomal RNA", at positions 997 to 1512 of the family's 1533-position model. The record is from RNAcentral.